UUAGAAAGUGGUGUCUAUUUGGAAAUGGA
This 29-nucleotide non-coding RNA is filed under the name Homo sapiens (human). The record is from RNAcentral. Lineage: Eukaryota; Metazoa; Chordata; Mammalia; Primates; Hominidae.